UACGUAGGGUGCAGGCGUUAAUCGGAAUUACUGGGCGUAAAGCGUGCGCAGGCGGCCUCUUAAGUCAGAUGUGAAAUCCCCGGGCUCAACUCGGGAACUGCGUUUGAAACUGGGAGGCUAGAGUACGGCAGAGGGGGGUGGAAUUCCACGUGUAGCAGUGAAAUGCGUAGAUAUGUGGAGGAACACCGAUGGCGAAGGCAGCCCCCUGGGCCUGUACUGACGCUCAUGCACGAAAGCGUGGGUAGCAAACAGG
This 253-nucleotide ribosomal RNA is filed under the name uncultured bacterium. RNAcentral describes it as "partial 16S ribosomal RNA". It matches the Rfam family "Bacterial small subunit ribosomal RNA", at positions 524 to 776 of the family's 1533-position model. The record is from RNAcentral.